GAGUUUGAUCUUGGCUCAGAUUGAACGCUGGCGGCAUGCCUUACACAUGCAAGUCGAACGGCAGCAUGAUCUAGCUUGCUAGAUUGAUGGCGAGUGGCGAACGGGUGAGUAAUACAUCGGAACGUGCCCUGUAGUGGGGGAUAACUAGUCGAAAGAUUAGCUAAUACCGCAUACGACCUGAGGGUGAAAGUGGGGGACCGCAAGGCCUCAUGCUAUAGGAGCGGCCGAUGUCUGAUUAGCUAGUUGGUGGGUAAAGGCCCACCAAGGCGACGAUCAGUAGCUGGUCUGAGAGGACGAUCAGCCACACUGGGACUGAGACACGGCCCAGACCCCUACGGAGGCAGCAGUGGGGAAUUUGGACAAUGGCGAAAGCCUGAUCCAGCAAUGCCGCGUGUGUGAAGAAGGCCU
This 408-nucleotide ribosomal RNA is filed under the name uncultured microorganism. RNAcentral's name for it is "bacterial SSU rRNA". It matches the Rfam family "Bacterial small subunit ribosomal RNA", at positions 9 to 417 of the family's 1533-position model. The record is from RNAcentral.